CUGAAGAAAACGUGAUGUGUAAAACCU
RNAcentral lists this non-coding RNA (27 nucleotides) under Cricetulus griseus (Chinese hamster). The record is from RNAcentral. Lineage: Eukaryota; Metazoa; Chordata; Mammalia; Rodentia; Cricetidae.